RNAcentral lists this long non-coding RNA (860 nucleotides) under Gallus gallus (chicken). RNAcentral describes it as "lncRNA (ENSGALG00010025611.1)". Lineage: Eukaryota; Metazoa; Chordata; Aves; Galliformes; Phasianidae. The record is from RNAcentral.
GGUGGAGCCUGGCUGCACCUCUCCUAGACCUCAUUUAAGGGCUGACUGCAACUGGGGAAGGUUUUCUGGUUUAAGAUUCUUCCUUUGUAGAGUUUUCUCUGCGUGGUUCAAUCUUUAGAGCUAGGUAAAUAUUACAAAUUAGUCCACAACUGUGAAAGAAAGCUGAGUAGGAUAUUCUGCACAAGGUGGACUGACAAUAAGUACUGAACUAAGAAGACUUCAGGGGAGAGAAGAAAGACAAGAUGUAUACUCAACAGCUAACGGAAAAAUGACUUCUGAUGACUAUUGGCCAGGCUACUUGUUUCCUGAAUGCUGAAAAUAUACCUAAGAGCCUAAAGAAAGGUGAUGCGUUUUGUGGGACAGCUGCAGAAAUGGGACUUUCUGAUCAUGGGAGACGGUUGUUAUUGUGGAACUCAUUCCGAUCAACCGCUGGAGUUUAGUAACCUGUGAGAACCGAGACAGCUUUUGUGUCUUCUGAGAAGCCUACCAAAAAAGUGUUAUGUUGGGCGGGUGGCAGCGCUGCAGGAUUUUGAUCAAAUCCACAUCUCUUGCUGGCUUUCUUAACAUAUGUUACAUUUUAUGUAAUGCAAACCAAGACAGCUUUACGAAACAGAUCAGUUCAGUCCAUCUUCAUAGAUGGAUGCCUUCAGCAGUGUUUGAAUUCAUGACUUAUUUAUUUUUUACUUAUUUUUCAGGGCAGAUUUGAGUAUUAUUGGUGUUAAUUCUGAAUUUCUAAAACCGGUGAUUUGCUAGUGCUGUUCUGUAAUGCCCUACAUUGCCUGUCUUUGCUUAGAAUUUCAUAUCUGAUAUUUUUAAUGUUAAGGUCAAUGUUAUUGAUCCUGUGGAUCUGUUCUUCUGCU